Molecule: ribosomal RNA, 253 nt
Filed under: uncultured bacterium
Lineage: Bacteria
Description: partial 16S ribosomal RNA
Rfam family: Bacterial small subunit ribosomal RNA
Source: RNAcentral
UACAGAGGGUGCGAGCGUUAAUCGGAAUUACUGGGCGUAAAGCGCGCGUAGGCGGUUUUGUAAGUCGGGUGUGAAAUCCCCAAGCUUAACUUGGGAACUGCAUUCGAGACUGCAUAGCUAGAGUAUGGGAGAGGGAAGUGGAAUUUCAGGUGUAGCGGUGAAAUGCGUAGAUAUCCGAAGGAACAUCAGUGGCGAAAGCGACUUCCUGGACCAAUACUGACGCUCAUGUGCGAAAGCGUGGGGAGCAAACAGG